This 1114-nucleotide long non-coding RNA is filed under the name Homo sapiens (human). RNAcentral describes it as "non-protein coding lnc-ZEB2-23:1". Lineage: Eukaryota; Metazoa; Chordata; Mammalia; Primates; Hominidae. The record is from RNAcentral.
AGUUCCCUCACUUCCCAGGGGUGGUAAGUUAGGCUCCAAAAGGUAAGGGGCUUGCCCAAAACACAUACAAAAAGGAAGUGCCUGACCCGGGCACUCUAAAAUCACAAACACAGCUUUCCUCUCCAAUCUCUAUACUCAAGAACAGAGGAGGACUCAGAACUAUAAUUGUGUGACUCACAUCAGUCAGUGUCUCUGAAAUAUACAAUCCUAAGCAAUGUAGUUAAGCCUCCUAAGUCCACCUCCUCUCCCCUACCUGGGGAGAUCAGCAUUAAUGAUGAGCUGAGGUAAAAGAGCUUAGAGGCUUGAAGGGGCCACAAAGGGAUUUGCAGUGCAGGGAGGGCCACAUUCCUGAACUUUCUCCUCUCCUGGAAGGUGCCUGGUGUGCUUCGAACCUACAAUGUCCAUCGCUUCUUUUCCUUUGACCUUCUCUUAGUUCUUGCACAGUUUUCUUAACUUUAUUCAUAGUUUUAAAGAGUCUCGGGGUGUGGGGGGGUUACUAGCUCAUAUUUUAAACCCUCUCUUCCUACAACUUGACACUAAACAGAUACAAAGAUGAAUAAAAUUACCAUCCUUAAUUAGUGCUUUUGCCUCAGUCAUUCCUAAGCUGAAGCCAUUGGCUGACCACUAAAAAUAAUGUUUAAACAAGGUCUUCUGUGUUAAUUUCCCAUAAAUGUAUUUUAAAAUGCUCCCAUCCCAUUCUAUAAGUUUUAUGGUUUUCAAAGAAAGCCAUGUCCAAGAACAAUAAGUCAGUUGCCCAAGGUCUCAGAGGUGUUGGGAACAUAACCAAGAGCUAGCCCAGGGUCUAGCUGACCCCAAAGCCCAUGCCUUCCAAGCAGCACAAGAGAGAGGAAGGCACCAUCUAGGUGUCUUUCUUAGCUCCGAGGGAAUAAAAGUCUUCCCAGGAAGGGACCAGCAGGACCUGAAGGCUGUUCUUUAAGUCCCCUUCAGGAUCCCACGGUGAAAAGGUCAAAAUACGUUCUGUGCUUUUCACAGAUAGAGUUGUAAAAUGGCUGUGGGAGAACAGCCUCGGAGUGAACCUGACAUUGGGUGUGUGCAAGCGGUUCAUGACUCUGCGGUUGAGUGUACAUGAGUCACCCAGAACACCGCGAGGCUC